This is a long non-coding RNA of Rhagoletis pomonella (apple maggot), 1104 nucleotides long. RefSeq lists it as uncharacterized. The transcript is spliced from 2 exons. The record is from RefSeq and is a predicted model, not a curated record. Lineage: Eukaryota; Metazoa; Arthropoda; Insecta; Diptera; Tephritidae.
UGCUCAAAAUGAUAAAAGUCAAAAAAUAACUUUAAUUUUUUGCCUUAAACACAUUCGCUAUACCUAUUCUAACAUGUUCAUUUGGUAUUAUAAACUGGUCAACCAUAGACCUUAGCAACGUUGAAGUAUUAACCAGAAAACAGUUUACAAAUCACAGGAAACUACAUCCCACCUCAUACAUACAACGAAGACAAAAAGAACACAUGGUUGCAAAAACAUUUACACGGCAAACAUAUGCACAUAAUGCAAGAUCCAAAUAUAGACAAAAUUUGAUCUUACACAUGGCUAGAGAGGGUGAACUUUUCGCCGAAACAUAAGGAUUUCUAAUAGCCAUUCAAUACCAAGUCUCAACCAAAAACUACCAAAAAUACAUAUUACGAGACCCGAAUACAAUAGAUUACAGAGGCAAAAAAUGCCAAUCCUACCCAGAAACAAUAGGUAACAACACGACCGGCUGCAGACUCCUGGCGGGUACUGAAUACGCAGAGAGACACAACACAUUUGCAAAAAUAAGACACCAAAUAAUAGCCAAUAAUCACAAACUCAUAGAAAACUGUACAACAUACUAAAAAAGAUAUCCCUGAAAAUAUCUUAGAAAACUAAAAAGCCCUACAGUACUGGGAUAGAACAGUAAACUCGGACAAAACCAUAUUGAACAAUAGACCGGACAUAACACUUACAUAUAAAACACAAAAAAUUACUUACCUCAUCGAAAUAAGCACACCAGCCAACACCAACGUGCAAAAAAAAUGCAUAGAAAAAAUAGAAAAGUACCUCGAACUUACACAAGAAAUAAAGCGUGUAUGGAAACAGAACACAGUUAAAAUAGCACUUUUCAUAAUAUCAGCUACGGGAUUCUUACACAGAACACUCAUAAAAAAUCUUAAGGUACUCAACGUAGACGAAACAGCACAUCACACAAUCCAAAAAGCAGUAAUCCUAAAAACAUGUAACACAUCAAGCAAAUGUGUGCAUGCAACACUGUAAGAAAGAAUGUAUAAGAAGAAGACCUUGGAACGAGAAGUUUUUGCUACAAGCCACGAAAGCGAGAAGACGUAUUUUUCCUUGCUGUUCAAUAAAACGUUUAAUUGUAAUACAAAUUCA